CAAGAUGUAGCUAUAACAAAAGCAUUCAGCUUACACCUGAAAGAUACCUGUAUUGCACCAGGUCAUCUUGA
Molecule: transfer RNA, 71 nt
Filed under: Tyrannus savana (Fork-tailed flycatcher)
Lineage: Eukaryota; Metazoa; Chordata; Aves; Passeriformes; Tyrannidae
Description: tRNA-Val
Source: RNAcentral